RNAcentral lists this ribosomal RNA (492 nucleotides) under uncultured bacterium. RNAcentral's name for it is "partial 16S ribosomal RNA". It matches the Rfam family "Bacterial small subunit ribosomal RNA", at positions 28 to 507 of the family's 1533-position model. The record is from RNAcentral.
GGUGAACGCUGGCGGUAGGCCUAACACAUGCAAGUCGAACGGCAGCACAGUAAGAGCUUGCUCUUACGGGUGGCGAGUGGCGGACGGGUGAGGAAUACAUCGGAAUCUACUUUUUCGUGGGGGAUAACGUAGGGAAACUUACGCUAAUACCGCAUACGACCUACGGGUGAAAGCAGGGGAUCUUCGGACCUUGCGCGAUUGAAUGAGCCGAUGUCGGAUUAGCUAGUUGGCGGGGUAAAGGCCCACCAAGGCGACGAUCCGUAGCUGGUCUGGGAGGAUGAUCAGCCACACUGGAACUGAGACACGGUCCAGACUCCUACGGGAGGCAGCAGUGGGGAAUAUUGGACAAUGGGCGCAAGCCUGAUCCAGCCAUACCGCGUGGGUGAAGAAGGCCUUCGGGUUGUAAAGCCCUUUUGUUGGGAAAGAAAAGCAGCAGGUUAAUACCCCGCUGUUCUGACGGUACCCAAAGAAUAAGCACCGGCUAACUUCGUG